This 253-nucleotide ribosomal RNA is filed under the name uncultured bacterium. Its description in RNAcentral is "partial 16S ribosomal RNA". It matches the Rfam family "Bacterial small subunit ribosomal RNA", at positions 524 to 776 of the family's 1533-position model. The record is from RNAcentral.
UACGUAGGGGGCAAGCGUUAUCCGGAUUCACUGGGCGUAAAGGGAGCGCAGGCGGCACGGCAAGUCUGGUGUGAAAACCCGGGGCUCAACCCCGGGGCUGCAUUGGAAACUGCCGGGCUGGAGUGUCGGAGGGGUAAGCGGAAUUCCUAGUGUAGCGGUGAAAUGCGUAGAUAUUAGGAGGAACACCAGUGGCGAAGGCGGCUUACUGGACGAUGACUGACGCUGAGGCUCGAAAGCGUGGGGAGCAAACAGG